GAUGAGUGGGAUUCUGUUCCAUGUGUCAUUCCGCAAUUCAUGACUAGAUCCACACUCAUCCA
This 62-nucleotide microRNA precursor is filed under the name Eisenia fetida (common brandling worm). Lineage: Eukaryota; Metazoa; Annelida; Clitellata; Crassiclitellata; Lumbricidae. The record is from RNAcentral.